GACGAACGCUGGCGGCGUGCCUAAUACAUGCAAGUAGAACGCACAGUUUAUACCGUAGCUUGCUACACCAUAAACUGUGAGUUGCGAACGGGUGAGUAACGCGUAGGUAACCUGCCUGGUAGCGGGGGAUAACUAUUGGAAACGAUAGCUAAUACCGCAUAAUAUUGAUUAUUGCAUGAUAAUUGAUUGAAAGAUGCUAUUGCAUCACUACCAGAUGGACCUGCGUUGUAUUAGCUAGUAGGUGAGGUAACGGCUCACCUAGGCGACGAUACAUAGCCGACCUGAGAGGGUGAUCGGCCACACUGGGAGUGAGACACGGCCCAGACUCCUACGGGAGGCAGCAGUAGGGAAUCUUCGGCAAUGGACGAAAGUCUGACCGAGCAACGCCGCGUGAGUGAAGAAGGUUUUCGGAUCGUAAAGCUCUGUUGUAAGAGAAGAACGGGUGUGAGAGUGGAAAGUUCACACUGUGACGGUAUCUUACCAGAAAGGGACGGCUAACUACGUG
This 505-nucleotide ribosomal RNA is filed under the name uncultured bacterium. Its description in RNAcentral is "partial 16S ribosomal RNA". It matches the Rfam family "Bacterial small subunit ribosomal RNA", at positions 28 to 507 of the family's 1533-position model. The record is from RNAcentral.